Molecule: long non-coding RNA, 1733 nt
Organism: Macaca mulatta (Rhesus monkey)
Lineage: Eukaryota; Metazoa; Chordata; Mammalia; Primates; Cercopithecidae
Source: RefSeq, a predicted model, not a curated record
UGAGGCUGAGGUAGCAAUGUAUUGCAGUUCUGGCCAAUGAAAUAUAAACAGAAGCCUGCUGGUUGAUUUCCAGAAAGAAUGCUUUGCCCUUUACCCGUCACCCGUUUCUCUUCUUCCUACCUAAAAUAAGGACGAAAUGCUUGGAGGAACAACAGACACCCUGCGACCAUGAAGACAAGACAAAGUCACAUACUAAGGUCAGAGGCCCACGGUCACCAAAAACCCAGGAGACCUGAGGCCGGCCGGGACUGAGAGGCACAAGCAGGCUGAGGAGUGGACAGAAGAGCAAGGAAUGGACAGAAGAGAAGCCUAGAGGAUGAAAGCCAGCUCUGCAAAGAGCUUCCAAGAGUCUUCCUGCCACAGAAAUUCCACUUGGCCACUGAAAUGGCCCUGGCCCUAGGCCUGGAGAGAGGUAGUGACAAGCUGCUCACAGCAAUGACUUUCAGUCAACAUAUCUUGCCUGUGCUUCUAAGGGUGGAGAUGCAACUGUGAGUAGCUCACUGGGUCAGGCAGGUCACAAACCAAGCUCCUCCCACACAGUGAGUUCACAGAGACAGAGAGAAGGAAGGGAAGGAGGUUCCCGGCUCUAGGGAUUCCUUAGGUCAAGGAGGGACAGGGUCCCUGUACUUGGGGACCCCCCAGUCUGACGGGAAGAUACAAGUCAACCCUCUUAGAGCCGUGGAAUGAAUGCCACCUACAGCUCCUCUCUUCAGGAAGGAAAUCCAGUCUGAUGGAAGAGACAUGGCCCCUAUUGUAUCAUUCUUGCCUUCUCACCUAUGUCACACAAAGGAGUGAAGGAGGUGGCAGGCCCUGGGAUAGGUCUAUUUCUGAGGUGAAUGGAGGCUCUCAGGGGACGUUCCCACAGUCCUGCUGUCAAGGGCCCCUUCCCCUCCCUCCCUCCCUGCCACGAUGCCUUACCCACUGGAAUGAAUCCUGAGCUCUGAGCCUAUUCCUAACACAGAAUGCUGACCCCUUUGUCACGUCCCGCUUUCCCUCCAACUUCGUUUUUUGUUAUUUUUCCCACCCAGACUUCCACCCCGCCCACUUGCCAUUUCCCAAGCUCGCCCGGGGAGACUAGACUCAACGGCCCACUGGUGAUCUUGUUUUACAUGAGACAUUUCCAAAAAAGACCAAAAAAUCCUUUCCAGGAAAAUGCCAUUUUAAAAAGUCAGCUCCAGACACGGCGGCAACAUUAGGAAAACAAAGGACUUGGCAGAAAGGUUUUCUGCAUGGAGACUUUCUCUCGAAAAUACCUUUUCCAAAUUGUCUCCAGUGGGGAUGACUCCAAGGGUCAGUUCUGGAGCACCCAGGCAAUUGCAGACAGAGUCACUUCUGGUUUGUACACUGUCCCAGGUCUUUCCUUACCUGCUACCACCCUGGCAUCUUCCAGGCUUAAACAAAGAGCCCCUUCCAAGGGUCCCCAAAGGAAGCAGCUGUCUCUGAGGGUCAAGAAAUAAUGCUGCUUCCUCCCUCCAGAGGGGACUCCUUAGCCCCUCUCUUGCCACCAUCACUAAGCAGGGGGCCCAGGUUAGGAGCUGGAGGGACAUAGUGCGCUUAGUAGAGAGCUUGUCUUCUCUUGUCAUCCAAGUGAGAGGAAUAUACAGCUUCCCCUGGGACAUACAUAGUGGUGUUCCCCUUUCUGCAUGUAUCAGGUAUAAUUAAUCAGGUUGACGUCACAUAUAUAAUAAUAAUGGCCAUUAUUUAUUAAACGCUCCUGAUGUGUCCACCCGUAA